Molecule: long non-coding RNA, 1846 nt
Organism: Cyprinus carpio carpio
Lineage: Eukaryota; Metazoa; Chordata; Actinopteri; Cypriniformes; Cyprinidae
Source: Ensembl
AUGGGAAUGUUGUUUGAACUGAACAGAAUGCGAUAUCCGGCCACAUGCGGCCGUCCUAUGAGUCCCCCUGCGGUGUUAUGCAAGCUUCAUAAAAGAACAAAUUUGUUAUCCUCCACCCGAGGGCAUCUGUUGAUGGAUACGUCCUCCCAGGGGUCGAGAGGAAGUAACCAUUCAACAACCGCUGCUUAUCUCGCUUUACUUGCUUUAAGUGUUCCUCACUUAAGAUAUGACAGACUGAAGUGCUCCACUUGGAAGUAUGCACUUCCAGCAAUGGUGUCCUCUUUACAAGUGAACUAAAGACUCAAGUGCACAUCUUUUGUGAGUGUAAAGCCAGAGUUUGCCAGCAGCAUCUUAAAGUUCUGCCUGUGGAUUGUGGAGUGAAGAUGUCAUUGUGUUUUCAGAGCCGUAGCCACAUAGUUGCAAGAUUUGCCAGCAGGGUUGUGAAUGAAUCAUUUUGGCAUUGAUGACUACAUUCUAAGGGAGUUUUGUCCCUACAUGAAAAUACAUAAAUCUAAUUUUAACAUAAACUGAUCUCUAAACCUCCUGCCUAACUUAAAAAAAUAAAAUAAAAUAAAACACUUUAUGUUUGUAUUGCCACAGGCAGACAAUGAGUAGAAUGUUUUCUCAAAGAUACAUAGAACAAAAAUGAUUGUUACUGUAUAUCUGAAUAUAGAGUUAAUUAUUUGAAUUCAUACAUGUGUUAUAUACAUAUCAUAGGCCUAUACCAUAUUAAGAGUAAGUCGAACACCUUACACAGAAAAUAAUGACUUCAAAACAAACAAUGAAAUCUACCAAAUAAUAAAACCAAUUAACCUUAGUAGUAAUUAAUUUUUUUUGUUUUGUUUAAAAUGACACAAAAAAACUUUUUAUUUCUAAAAAAAAAAAAAACAUUUUAUUUCUGAAACGCUUUAGCUGGACAUUCAUCUUAUUAUAAAUGUUACUAGUUUUUUUCAGAAUGUUCAGAGAAAGCUCUAAACUAACAUUCCCUUGAUAUUUGCAAAAUAAUAAAUUGGAAUGUUGCAUUAAAGAGAUAGUUAAAAAUUCUGUCAUUAAUUACUAACCCUCAUGUCGUUACAAACCUGUAAGACUUUCGUUCAUCUUCAAAACACAAAUUAAGAUAUUUUUUUAAGAAAUCCAAGAGAUUUCUGACCCUGCAUAGACAGCAACGUAACUAUCACAUUCAAGAAAGGUAGUAAGGGCAUUGUUAAAAUAGUCCAUGUGAUAUCAGUGGUUCAGCCGUAAUUUUAUAAAGAUACAAGAAUACUUUUUGAGUGCAAACAAAAAAAGCAACUUUUUUGGGUGAACUAUCCCUUUAAUGUUUGUAAAAACAAAAAAAAUUAAAAAAAAAAAAAAAAUAAUAAAUAUUUUUUUUUAAAUAAAUUAAUGGGAACCUAAGCAAACUGUUAUUUGGAUAUAUUUCUGGGAUCAUUUUUCUUAGUAGUCUCUUAAUAAAGUUUAUUAAAGGAUAGGUAGAGUUGUUUCAGACGUAUAGAAUUUUGUCCCAAAUCAGUUGAGUAAAUUAUCCAAGACUCACUUCCCAAAAAUUCACUUGUCGCCACCUACUGGCGUAAUGAUGCAAACCAUUUUUGAAUUAAGCUUUUGGGUGAAUUGAUUCAAAAGAGUCUAGUCACUGAGAUAAUUUUAUGAAUGAUACAAGGCAUAUUUGCUAAAUAGAAAAUGGAAAUUAUAAAUGGGCUUGACACACAAUUUUUAUACAUCAAAAGUGUUAGGAUAAAGAUACAGAUAAUGGCUUUGCUGCAAACCACCUAUCUAUCUAUCUAUCUAUCUAUAUAUAUAUAUAUAUAUAUAUAUAUAUAUAUAUAUAUAUAUAUAUAUAUAUAUAUAU